AUGGCAUUGAACAUGUCCUAAUGUUUCACAGUGAGAAGUGAAGCACUUCCUCUUACUUAGAAAGAAAAAUAUUUGAUUUUUAGAGGAUGCCUGACACUAAUGCUGACUAUUCUGCUAUCUAUGAUGUCUUCACUUAUGGAUAUAUUUAUUAACAAGUACUUAUUAGCUAUUUAACAUUUCCUCUAUUGAGUGUUAUUAAUUACAGAUGCUGUAUUAGUUUCCUAAGGUUGCUAUAACAGAUGCUGUAUUAGUUUCCUAAGGCUGCUGUAACAAAUUACCACAAACUUGGUGACUUAAAACAACAGAAAUUUAUACUCUCACGGUUCUGGAGGCCAGAAGUUCAAAAUACAGCUGGGACCAAAAGCAUCUCUAAGGAAGGAUACAGUCCUUGCCUCUUCCAGGGUUCUGUGCCUCCUGUUGGAAUCAGCUCACUAACCAGUGGAAACAAACCGUUUAUGCUUCCAUGAUGUUGUAACUGCCUGGGCUUUCUAAUGCAUCUUCAGAUUUCAGUUUGUACUCAGAACAAGUGAGAAAAGUUUUACAGAAACUCCACGAAACAAAGCAGACAGGCUCUCCUGAAGCCAAGGAUUUAUGAAAAAGGCAGGCGUCGCGCAUUGAAUCAAGUAUGCCAUUACCCUCACUCCCAUGAACCUGUCUUUCAGCACAAUCCACGACAGCAAGAAGACAAAGGCUUUGUUACAACAGAACAGAGCGGAGACAUCCGUGGCCGUCAGCUUCUUUA
This 742-nucleotide non-coding RNA is filed under the name Pongo abelii (Sumatran orangutan). Lineage: Eukaryota; Metazoa; Chordata; Mammalia; Primates; Hominidae. The record is from RNAcentral.